RNAcentral lists this ribosomal RNA (253 nucleotides) under uncultured bacterium. Its description in RNAcentral is "partial 16S ribosomal RNA". It matches the Rfam family "Bacterial small subunit ribosomal RNA", at positions 524 to 776 of the family's 1533-position model. The record is from RNAcentral.
UACGUAGGGUGCGAGCGUUAAUCGGAAUUACUGGGCGUAAAGUGUGCGCAGGCGGCAGAGCAAGUCGAGUGUGAAAGCCCCGGGCUUAACUUGGGAAUUGCGCUCGAAACUACUUUGCUGGAGUGUGGCAGAGGAAGGUGGAAUUCCACGUGUAGCGGUGAAAUGCGUAGAGAUGUGGAGGAACACCGAUGGCGAAGGCAGCCUCCUGGGCCAGCACUGACGCUCAUGCACGAAAGCGUGAGGAGCAAACAGG